AUAACUUCCAAUAAGCAGAAUAAAUAGACAUGAGUUAAGUGCAAUGCAGGCUAAUGAGCAUAGAGUUAGGAUUCUUCAGCAUCACAUCCUAAGCAAGACACAUUAAACAUCUUACCAUCUGAGCAGAAUAAUUCUGAUAAACUCCGAUAGCAAGCCUAAGAUUCAGUUCCCAUCAGUGGCUCCAGUUUUAUCCUGGUUAUAUCUGGGUGACUUGAACCGAAAGUAAAAUCGGCAAACUGCUUCAAGUGCAAAUUAUAAAGAACCAGCAACUCCAAUAACUCAUAGCAGAAAUCCUGUGUCAAGUUAGCAAAUCCCUUAAAUUAGUUGCUUCAUUCUAGAAAGCUCAAAUACAUUUAAUCAAACCCUUGAUAUAAUAUACAAUAAGGACAAGGGAUGAUUGCUUUCAACAACGACAUCUUUCCUUUGUAGCAUAUCCACAAGUUGCAAUUAACAAGAGACGGUCAUGGAACUCUAUGCACAGAGCAACAUUAAACUUAGCUGAAGUUACUAGCAACUGCUUUAUUAGUAAUUAAACUGAACUCUCAUUUUACAUCACUAGUAUCGAAUGAGAGCUCAGCUGUGACAGCUAGUGACCAGUGAUAAUAAUUACUAAACAAGAGUGCUGUAAAAGGAAGUACAAUCUGACCAUACUUUUACUUAAAAAGCCUAAAGCUCGUCAGUCAUUUGUUUAAAAAGAAUAUACUCGUUGUUUAUAUUCAGAUGGCAAGGACUCAAGAGAUCAAAACAGAAAUUUGAAAAUAAGGAACCUACUGCACCUGAUGUCUAUAAUCCUAUAUCAUCUUAGAACUUUGGAGCUAAAACUUGCCAAUUAAUAUAUCCCUCCUCUUAUUAUGUUUGAACACAAGUUUGCAAUACGUUGCAAAUGGUAAUAAGGUGUAUGCUUGUGAUCUUCUAGUGAAGUUUCUUUAAUUGUCAAAAUAAAUGCCUUAAUAAGUUGGAGCCAUUCGCAAAUCAUAGACCAUCCUCCCAUUCCUUUUUGAAUCAACAAAGGUAUCGGUUAUCUCUUUCAUAGGUGAGGUCCAGCUGUAGAAUUGACAUAAGCUGAUAAUGGUAGACUUAAAUCAUAUCAUUAUGCUCUUCACAACCAUACUGAUCGUGAAUUCAGAUUGCAAUAGUGUCAAACAAGCGAAAGCAUUAAUAAUCGGAAGAAAGAAAGUAUAAACAACACCCCUUGGGUGGAGUUUGACUGCUUUCUGGUCCGGGCCUUUUCUACGAUGUUAUAAACAUAGAAAUUCACAAGAUAGAGAAAACAAACAUCUAUUAAAGCAGUCGUAGAACUCAUUGAUAAAAAAUACACUGAUAUGUUAGUCUGUGGACUGAUUCUAAUACCACAAAGAAGCAUCUUGUUUCUUUAUAACAUUCAUUGAAAACAAUUAGAGUUAAGCAUUCUUAAGUGAAACAUGCUAGCCAAUACUUGGAAAUUAGGAGAUCUUAAUUCUUAUGAAUACAACCCAAACAUGAACCAAGAAGAUAAGCGUAUACUAGCUGGACUAGGCUCCUAAACAAUAAAUAGGCUUUCUAUCCCACAUAGUAAUGUUCAAUUUUUAGCAUGUUUGUUCGGAGGAGUUUAGCAGGGAAGGGGAGGAAGGUAACAAAAUAGCAAAUGCAGGUAAAUCAUUCAGAAGAAACCAAAGAAAUUGCCAAUAAAGUACAUGCUAAUGCAUUUGUCGAAUUGCUUUAGUAGUUUUUUCCUGAGUCUUCUCCAUCAAUUUCUUGAUCCCAGAGUUGGACAAAAAUUUAAGGGCUUACCAAAUUCCAAAUCCCCAAAAUGGUUUAAAAAAAAUUGGAUUCUUUCAGCCGCAAAUAUAUCAAACUAAAACCUCCUAAGGUAAAGCUGAAGCAUAUCACAUCAAAAAGAGAAUGAACAGAAAACUUACUCAAGUUGACGAAGAGCAUAAAAAAGCUCCUUUUGUCUACUUCUCUGUGGCAGGAAAAUUUAGAACCCUACUUUGCUCCCAGCACACCAAAAAUCCAUGGAAUUGUAGAUGCCUUCACAAAUGCUGUAGAUAAGUAUCAAAGCAAAAAAAAAAAAGCAUAAUGUGCGUAAGCUAUUUAGCUAAUUUGAACAUAUCAAUUUAAAUUUGAAACUGAAGAAAGAGAUAGGUAUGACUAACUAACAAUACUAUUUCAAACAUAAAAUAUUACUAGUCUAAUUUUUGAAAGUGAAGAAAGACAAUUUAAUCAGCAAUGACAACGACAAUGAGGCAAAGGGACAGUACCGAGAGAUUAUGCAAGCGAAAUUGGAUAGAUUAGCAGUACAUAAAGCUCUCGCAAGAAAACAUACACAAAAAAGAAAAAUUCUUCAUAACCUAUUACUGAAGGUAAGCUUUGAUUGGAAAGAAAAAAGAGAGGUACUAACUUUAAGAAACACAGAGAUUCUACGAGUGGAAUUUGCAAAGUUUGGUAUAAUUGGUUAAGUUAUUGGUAUAAUUGUUUGGUAAUUUGUUAAAUUAUUGCCUAUUGAUGAGGAUAUAUGAUCGCG
Molecule: long non-coding RNA, 2503 nt
Filed under: Nicotiana tabacum (common tobacco)
Lineage: Eukaryota; Viridiplantae; Streptophyta; Magnoliopsida; Solanales; Solanaceae
Description: long non-coding RNA (NTAB_LNC010941)
Source: RNAcentral